RNAcentral lists this transfer RNA (72 nucleotides) under Hypsibius dujardini. It matches the Rfam family "tRNA". Rfam says of the family: Transfer RNA (tRNA) molecules are approximately 80 nucleotides in length. Their secondary structure includes four short double-helical elements and three loops (D, anti-codon, and T loops). Further hydrogen bonds mediate the characteristic L-shaped molecular structure. tRNAs have two regions of fundamental functional importance: the anti-codon, which is responsible for specific mRNA codon recognition, and the 3' end, to which the tRNAs corresponding amino acid is attached (by aminoacyl-tRNA synthetases). tRNAs cope with the degeneracy of the genetic code in two manners: having more than one tRNA (with a specific anti-codon) for a particular amino acid; and 'wobble' base-pairing, i.e. permitting non-standard base-pairing at the 3rd anti-codon position. The record is from Rfam by way of RNAcentral. Lineage: Eukaryota; Metazoa; Tardigrada; Eutardigrada; Parachela; Hypsibiidae. RNAcentral also lists the same sequence under 1 other name.
AGCAGCUUGGCGCAGAGGUAGCGCGCUGGGCUCAUAACUCAGAGGUCCGUGGAUCGAAACCACGAGCUGCUA